GGACCAAGGAGUCUAGCAUGUGCGCGAGUCAUUGAGACUUAGCGAAACUUAAGGGCGUAAUGAAAGUGAAGGCCGCCUUGCGCGUGCCUAGGGAGGAUGCGCCGGGCCACGGCCUGGCGCCGCACUCCCGGGGCGUCUCGUGCUCAUUGCGAGCUGAGGCGCACCCAGAGCGUACACGCUGGGACCC
RNAcentral lists this ribosomal RNA (187 nucleotides) under Rabigus sp. 2 BT-2011. Its description in RNAcentral is "partial 28S ribosomal RNA". It matches the Rfam family "Eukaryotic large subunit ribosomal RNA", at positions 663 to 817 of the family's 3401-position model. The record is from RNAcentral. Lineage: Eukaryota; Metazoa; Arthropoda; Insecta; Coleoptera; Staphylinidae.